RNAcentral lists this ribosomal RNA (347 nucleotides) under uncultured bacterium. Its description in RNAcentral is "bacterial SSU rRNA". It matches the Rfam family "Bacterial small subunit ribosomal RNA", at positions 29 to 410 of the family's 1533-position model. The record is from RNAcentral.
AACGAACGCUGGCGGCAGGCUUAACACAUGCAAGUCGAACGAAGGCUUCGGCCUUAGUGGCGCACGGGUGAGUAACACGUGGGAAUAUACCUCUCAGUGGGGGAUAACGUCGGGAAACUGACGCUAAUACCGCAUACGCCUCGGGAAGAUUAUCGCUGAGAGAUUAGCCGCCGUCCGAUUAGCUAGUUGGUGAGGUAACGGCUCACCAAGGCGACGAUCGGUAGCUGGUCUGAGAGGAUGAUCAGCCACACUGGGACUGAGACACGGCCCAGACUCCUACGGGAGGCAGCAGUGGGGAAUAUUGGACAAUGGGCGAAGCCUGAUCCAGCCAUGCCGCGUGAGUGAUG